This is a small nucleolar RNA of Bombina bombina (fire-bellied toad), 137 nucleotides long. RefSeq annotates it as small nucleolar RNA SNORA13. The transcript has a single exon. The record is from RefSeq and is a predicted model, not a curated record. Lineage: Eukaryota; Metazoa; Chordata; Amphibia; Anura; Bombinatoridae.
UGCCUUUGUGUUACCCAUUCAUUUUUAAAGUGGUGAAUGUGGCGUCAAACAAGGCAUACAGAAAAUCCCUCUUGGCUACCCACGUUGCUUUUGGUAUACAUGUCAUAUACUGUGGGCUUGGUUGCAUGGGGACAGUC